RNAcentral lists this ribosomal RNA (239 nucleotides) under uncultured bacterium. Its description in RNAcentral is "partial 16S ribosomal RNA". It matches the Rfam family "Bacterial small subunit ribosomal RNA", at positions 15 to 236 of the family's 1533-position model. The record is from RNAcentral.
GNUCCUGGCUCAGGGUGAACGCUGGCGGCGUGCUUAACACAUGCAAGUCGAGCGAAGCACUUAGGAAAGAUUCUUCGGAUGAUUUCCUAUUUGACUGAGCGGCGGACGGGUGAGUAACGCGUGGGUAACCUGCCUCAUACAGGGGGAUAACAGUUAGAAAUGACUGCUAAUACCGCAUAAGACCACAGCACCGCAUGGUGCAGGGGUAAAAACUCCGGUGGUAUGAGAUGGACCCGCGU